UGAAUACGAGAUGCUACGGCGUCGAAGCAGUGUAUGUCAGACUUCCAAGAAAAGCUCGCAAUGUCAUAAAUAAAGAAUGCCUGUACCAUAACCGACACAGGUGGGUAGGUAGAGUAUACUAAGGGGCGCGAGAUAACUCUCUCUAAGGAACUCGGCAAAAUAACUCCGUAACUUCGGGAGAAGGAGUGCCUUCUUUAAGAAGGUUGCAAUAACAAGAUCCAAGCAACUGUUUAUCAAAAACACAGGUCUCCGCUAAGUCGUAAGACGAUGUAUGGGGGCUGACGCCUGCCCAGUGCCAGAAGGUUAAAGAAGUUGGUUAGCUUUUGCGAAGCUGAUGACUGAAGCCCUGGUGAACGGCGGCCGUAACAAUAACGGUCCUAAGGUAGCGAAAUUCCUUGUCGGGUAAGUUCCGACCCGCACGAAAGGCGUAAUGAUUUGGAUACUGUCUCGGAGAGGGACUCGGUGAAAUAGACUUGUCUGUGAAGAUGCGGACUACCUGCACCAGGACAGAAAGACCCUAUGAAGCUUUACUGUAACUUGAAAUUGAAAUUGGACUUUAUUUGCGCAGUAUAGGUGGAAGGCGUUGAAAGUAAUCUUGCGGGAUUAGUGGAGCCAUCAGUGAGAUACCACUCCUAUAAUGUUAGAUUUCUAACUUUGGAUCAUGAUCUGGUCAAAGAACAGUUUCAGGCGGGCAGUUUGACUGGGGCGGUCGCCUCCCAAAUGGUAACGGAGGCGUACAAAGGUUUCCUCUGAACGGGUAGAAAUCGUAUCUAGAGUGUAAAGGCAUAAGGAAGCUUGACUGUGAGACCUACAAGUCGAGCAGGGACGAAAGUCGGUCUUAGUGAUCUGACGGUGCUGAGUGGAAAGGCCGUCACUCAUCGGAUAAAAGUUACUCUAGGAUAACAGGCUGAUCUCCCCCAAGAGUUCACAUCGACGGGGAGGUUUGGCACCUCGAUGUCGGCUCAUCGCAUCCUGGGGCGGUAGUACGUCCCAAGGGUUGGGCUGUUCGCCCAUGAAAGCGGUACGCGAGCUGGGUUCAGAACGUCGUGAGACAGUUCGGUCCAUAUCCGGUGUAGGCGUUAGAAUAUUGAGAGGAGCCUUCUUUAGUACGAGAGGACCGAGAAGGACAUACCUCUGGUGUACCAGUUAUCGUGCCAACGGUAAACGCUGGGUAGCUAUGUAUGGAGAGGAUAACCGCUGAAAGCAUCUAAGUGGGAAGCCCACCUCAAGAUGAG
This 1235-nucleotide ribosomal RNA is filed under the name metagenome. RNAcentral describes it as "bacterial LSU rRNA". It matches the Rfam family "Bacterial large subunit ribosomal RNA", at positions 1564 to 2808 of the family's 2925-position model. The record is from RNAcentral.